This is a small nuclear RNA of Pteronotus mesoamericanus, 130 nucleotides long. Lineage: Eukaryota; Metazoa; Chordata; Mammalia; Chiroptera; Mormoopidae. The record is from RefSeq and is a predicted model, not a curated record.
GUGUUGUUUGGAAGAAGAGAAGGUUAGCACUCCCCUUGACAAGGAUGGAAGAGGCCCUCGGGCCUAACAACACACAUACAGUUAAGACUAGGGACACUUCAGAGUACAAAGAUAAGCACUAAGAUAAUAU